UGGGGAAUUUUGGACAAUGGGCGAAAGCCUGAUCCAGCAAUGCCGCGUGUGUGAAGAAGGCCUUCGGGUUGUAAAGCACUUUUGUCCGGAAAGAAAUCCUUGGCUCUAAUACAGUCGGGGGAUGACGGUACCGGAAGAAUAAGCACCGGCUAACUACGUGCCAGCAGCCGCGGUAAUACGUAGGGUGCAAGCGUUAAUCGGAAUUACUGGGCGUAAAGCGUGCGCAGGCGGUUUGCUAAGACCGAUGUGAAAUCCCCGGGCUCAACCUGGGAACUGCAUUGGUGACUGGCAGGCUAGAGUAUGGCAGAGGGGGGUAGAAUUCCACGUGUAGCAGUGAAAUGCGUAGAGAUGUGGAGGAAUACCGAUGGCGAAGGCAGCCCCCUGGGCCAAUACUGACGCUCAUGCACGAAAGCGUGGGGAGCAAACAGGAUUAGAUACCCUGGUAGUCCACGCCCUAAACGAUGUCAACUAGUUGUGGGGAUUCAUUCCUUAGUAACGUAGCUAACGCGUGAAGUUGACCGCCUGGGGAGUACGGUCGCAAGAUUAAAACUCAAAGGAAUUGACGGGGUCAUAGCUGUUUCCU
Molecule: ribosomal RNA, 583 nt
Filed under: uncultured bacterium
Lineage: Bacteria
Description: partial 16S ribosomal RNA
Rfam family: Bacterial small subunit ribosomal RNA
Source: RNAcentral